CAUUACCGAGUUUACAACUCCCAAACCCCUGUGAACAUACCUUAAUGUUGCCUCGGCGGAUCAGCCCGCGCCCCGUAAAACGGGACGGCCCGCCAGAGGACCCAAACUCUAAUGUUUCUUAUUGUAACUUCUGAGUAAAACAAACAAAUAAAUCAAAACUUUCAACAACGGAUCUCUUGGUUCUGGCAUCGAUGAAGAACGCAGCAAAAUGCGAUAAGUAAUGUGAAUUGCAGAAUUCAGUGAAUCAUCGAAUCUUUGAACGCACAUUGCGCCCGCUGGUAUUCCGGCGGGCAUGCCUGUUCGAGCGUCAUUUCAACCCUCAAGCCCUCGGGUUUGGUGUUGGGGAUCGGCUCUGCCUUCUGGCGGUGCCGCCCCCGAAAUACAUUGGCGGUCUCGCUGCAGCCUCCAUUGCGUAGUAGCUAACACCUCGCAACUGGAACGCGGCGCGGCCAUGCCGUAAAACCCCAACUUCUGAAUGUUGACCUCGGAUCAGGUAGGAAUACCCGCUGAACUUAAGCAUAUC
RNAcentral lists this ribosomal RNA (523 nucleotides) under Fusarium tricinctum. RNAcentral's name for it is "eukaryotic LSU rRNA". The stretch from base 157 to 310 matches the Rfam family "5.8S ribosomal RNA". Lineage: Eukaryota; Fungi; Ascomycota; Sordariomycetes; Hypocreales; Nectriaceae. The record is from RNAcentral.